Molecule: ribosomal RNA, 578 nt
Filed under: Pallidophorina paarla
Lineage: Eukaryota; Fungi; Ascomycota; Leotiomycetes; Phacidiales
Description: partial large subunit ribosomal RNA
Rfam family: Eukaryotic large subunit ribosomal RNA
Source: RNAcentral
GCGGAGGAAAAGAAACCAACAGGGAUUGCCUCAGUAACGGCGAGUGAAGCGGCAACAGCUCAAAUUUGAAAUCUGGCCUCACGGUCCGAGUUGUAAUUUGUAGAGGAUGCUUCGAACGCGGUCCGGUCUAAGUUCCUUGGAACAGGACGUCAUAGAGGGUGAGAAUCCCGUAUGUGACCGGGUGCCUAAGUUCAUGUGAAGCUCCUUCGACGAGUCGAGUUGUUUGGGAAUGCAGCUCAAAAUGGGUGGUAAAUUUCAUCUAAAGCUAAAUAUUGGCCAGAGACCGAUAGCGCACAAGUAGAGUGAUCGAAAGAUGAAAAGCACUUUGGAAAGAGAGUUAAACAGUACGUGAAAUUGUUGAAAGGGAAGCGCUUGCAACCAGACUUGCACGCAGUCGAUCAUCCGGUGUUCUCACCGGUGCACUCGAUUGCGUUCAGGCCAGCAUCGGUUUUGGUGGUUGGAUAAAGGCCUUGGGAAUGUAGCUCCUCUCGGGGAGUGUUAUAGCCCUCGGUGCAAUGCAGCCUACCGGGACCGAGGACCGCGCUUCGGCUAGGAUGCUGGCGUAAUGGUUGUAAGCG